Molecule: non-coding RNA, 45 nt
Filed under: Trichobilharzia regenti
Lineage: Eukaryota; Metazoa; Platyhelminthes; Trematoda; Strigeidida; Schistosomatidae
Source: RNAcentral
AUCCAGCUGACGAGUCCCAAUUAGGAGGAAAUGCGCAUCCUGGAU